UUGUUUAUCAAUAGGGUUGGUUUCAGUCUCUGCCUAAAGCAGUGUGAUUCUCAGUUGUUCGAAUGGAUUCAUCCUACUGAUCCUCCAAAAUCAUUUGGAUGGCAGUCUUCUGCUAAAGUUGAGCUAUUGAAGUUGCGGUUGGAUGGAUAUGAUUGGAGCACGCCAUUUAGUGUUUGCAGUGAAGGUAUGAUGCGCAUUUCUUUGAAGAAAGAUACUGGAGGUGAUCAAAUGCAGCUAAGGGUACAAGUAAGAAGUGGCACAAAGAGCUCUCGCUAUGAAGUUAUUUUCCGUCCAGACUCUUCAUCCAGUCCAUACAGGAUUGAAAAUCGUUCUAUGUUUUUACCUAUCCGUUUUCGGCAAGUUGAUGGUGCUGGUGAUUCAUGGAAGCUUCUUCUUCCUAGCACAGCUGCUUCAUUCUUGUGGGAAGAUCUUGGUCGACGGCAACUGUUGGAACUCUUUGUAGAUGGGACUGACUCGUCAAAAUCACUUAUAUACAAUAUUGAUGAGACUUCUGAUAACUUGCCCAUCCAUAUGGGUGGUGGACCUACUAGAGCUUUACGUGUUACUAUUGUGAAGGAAGACAAAAUGAAUGUUGCUAAGAUCAGUGAUUGGAUGCCAGAAAAUGAGCCUACUGCUGUCACAAGUACCGGAGUCUCUCUUCAGUCAUCACAGGUUGAAGGAAAUGAUUCUCAACAACAUCAAUUGCCAUCCACCACUGAUUGUGAAUUUCAUGUUGUUCUUGAGCUUGCUGAGCUUGGAAUAUCAGUAAUUGACCACACACCAGAAGAAAUUUUAUAUUUAUCAGUGCGGAAUCUUCUUCUGGCAUAUUCUACUGGCUUGGGAUCUGGGUUCAGUAGGUUCAAAUUGAGAAUGCAUGGAAUACAAGUGGAUAACCAGUUGCCAUUAACUCCAAUGCCAGUUCUCUUCAGGCCACAGAAAGUUGUGCAUGAGAUGGACUAUAUGUUGAAGUUUUCCAUGACACUGCAAUCAAAUGGUUCAUUAGAUCUAUGUGUUUAUCCAUAUAUUGGUUUCAGUGGACCUGACAACUCUGCUUUCUUAAUAAACAUUCAUGAACCUAUUAUCUGGCGCCUUCAUGAAAUGAUCCAGCAGGUCAAUAUCAGUAGGUUACAAGAUACUCAAACAACUGCUGUUUCAGUUGAUCCAAUCAUUCAAAUUGGUGUUCUUAGCAUCUCAGAAGUUCGAUUCAAAGUGUCAAUGGGUAUGUCACCUGGUCAACGGCCAAGAGGAGUCCUUGGUUUCUGGUCGUCCUUAAUGACUGCUUUGGGAAACACUGAAAAUAUGCCAGUGAGAAUAAACCAAAGAUUUCAUGAGAACAUAUGCAUGAGGCAGAGUGCUAUGAUUAGCAUUGCUAUUUCAAAUGUUAAAAAGGAUCUUCUCGGCCAACCUCUUCAACUGCUUUCUGGUGUUGAUAUAUUGGGCAAUGCUAGCAGUGCACUCGGACACAUGAGUAAAGGUGUUGCUGCCUUAUCAAUGGACAAGAAGUUCAUCCAAAGUCGACAAAGACAGGAGAAUAAAGGUGUAGAGGACCUUGGUGAUGUUAUCAGAGAGGGAGGUGGAGCUCUAGCAAAGGGUCUAUUUAGAGGAGUCACUGGCAUUUUGACUAAGCCUCUUGAAGGUGCAAAAACCUCUGGCGUAGAGGGUUUUGUUCAGGGUGUUGGAAAAGGGAUAAUAGGUGCAGCUGCCCAACCUGUUAGUGGGGUUCUGGAUCUCUUGUCAAAAACUACUGAAGGUGCCAAUGCUAUGAGAAUGAAAAUAGCAUCUGCUAUAACUUCAGAGGAACAACUCCUCCGCAGGAGACUGCCUCGUGUAAUUAGUGGUGAUAAUUUGCUUCGACCUUACAAUGAGUACAAAGCCCAAGGACAGGUUAUAUUGCAGCUGGCAGAAUCAGGCUCAUUUUUCAGUCAGGUUGAUCUUUUCAAAGUACGUGGGAAAUUUGCCUUAUCAGAUGCUUAUGAAGAUCAUUUUGUGCUUCCUAAAGGAAAAAUUGUCAUGGUGACCCAUCGAAGAGUAAUGUUAUUGCAACAACCCUCUAAUAUUAUUGGUCAGAGGAAGUUCAUUCCAGCAAGGGAUCCAUGUUCGGUGCUGUGGGAUGUGCUGUGGGAUGACUUGGUGACAAUGGAAUUGACUAUUGGAAAAAA
RNAcentral lists this unclassified non-coding RNA (2159 nucleotides) under Hevea brasiliensis (rubber tree). Lineage: Eukaryota; Viridiplantae; Streptophyta; Magnoliopsida; Malpighiales; Euphorbiaceae. The record is from RNAcentral.